CGCCUUGCCAGCCCGCUCAGAACUUAAAGGAAGUUGACGGGGCCCGCACAAGCGGUGGAGGUAUGUGGUUUAAUUCGAUGCAACGCGAAGAACCUUACCUGGUCUUGACAUCCCGGAGACCCUUAGGAAACUAGGGGGUGCUUCCAUCUGGAAGAAUCUGGAGACAGGUGCUGCAUGGCUGUCGUCAGCUCGUGUCGUGAGAUGUUGGGUUAAGUCCCGCAACGAGCGCAACCCUUGCCUUUAGUUGCCAGCAGUUCGGCUGGGCACUCUAAAGGGACUGCCGGUGUUAAACCGGAGGAAGGUGGGGAUGACGUCAAGUCCUCAUGGCCUUUAUGACCAGGGCUACACACGUACUACAAUGGCCGAUACAAAGGGCAGCGACACUGCGAGGUGAAGCCAAUCCCGUAAAAUCGGUCUCAGUCCGGAUUGGAGUCUGCAACUCGACUCCAUGAAGUUGGAAUCGCUAGUAAUCGUGGAUCAGCAUGCCACGGUGAAUACGUUCCCGGGCCUU
RNAcentral lists this ribosomal RNA (511 nucleotides) under uncultured Desulfobulbus sp. RNAcentral describes it as "bacterial SSU rRNA". It matches the Rfam family "Bacterial small subunit ribosomal RNA", at positions 903 to 1382 of the family's 1533-position model. The record is from RNAcentral. Lineage: Bacteria; Pseudomonadati; Thermodesulfobacteriota; Desulfobulbia; Desulfobulbales; Desulfobulbaceae.